RNAcentral lists this long non-coding RNA (208 nucleotides) under Vigna radiata. Its description in RNAcentral is "long non-coding RNA (VRAD_LNC016619)". Lineage: Eukaryota; Viridiplantae; Streptophyta; Magnoliopsida; Fabales; Fabaceae. The record is from RNAcentral.
GGGAUACAAGAACUACACCUUACCUUGCGAAAGAUACCCUUUUUUCGGUUCGGAUAACAUCAACGCAGCAAUGGAGAUAACAAAGGAUGAUGAAGGUGCAGGAAUGGAAACAAAAUGAAAGUGAAAGAGAACGUUCAAAAGCAAAGUGAAACACACCAAAAUGAAACCGUCAAAUGAAAACUCAUAUUCGUUAUCUCAUAAUUCCUAU